This 408-nucleotide ribosomal RNA is filed under the name uncultured bacterium. RNAcentral's name for it is "partial 16S ribosomal RNA". It matches the Rfam family "Bacterial small subunit ribosomal RNA", at positions 28 to 526 of the family's 1533-position model. The record is from RNAcentral.
GACGAACGCUGGCGGCGUGCUUAACACAUGCAAGUCGAACGGAGUGGCGAACGGGUGAGUAACACGUGGGUGAUCUGCCUUGCACUCUGGGAUAAGCUUGGGAAACUGGGUCUAAUACCGGAUAGUGCAAGAUGAGCUCGCGGCCUCUCAGCUUUGUGGUGGGGUACUGGCCUACCAAGGCGUCGCCGGGUAGCCGGCCUGAGAGGGUGUACGGCCACAUUGGGAGUGAGAGACGGCGCAGACUCCUACGGGAGGAAGCAGUGGGGAAUAUUGCACAAUGGGCGGAAGCCUGAUGCAGCGACGCCGCGUGGGGGAUGACGGCCUUCGGGUUGUAAACUCCUUUCGACAGGGACGCGGUACCUGGAUAAGAAGCACCGGCUAACUACGGGCCAGCCGCCGCGGUAAUAC